GUCCCAGUAGCUCAGUUGGAUAGAGCAUUCGCCUCCUAAGCGAAAGGUCGUAGGUUCGACUCCUAUCUGGGACGCCA
Molecule: transfer RNA, 77 nt
Filed under: Holdemanella biformis
Lineage: Bacteria; Bacillati; Bacillota; Erysipelotrichia; Erysipelotrichales; Erysipelotrichaceae
Also listed under: 4 other names
Description: tRNA-Arg
Rfam family: tRNA
About the family: Transfer RNA (tRNA) molecules are approximately 80 nucleotides in length. Their secondary structure includes four short double-helical elements and three loops (D, anti-codon, and T loops).
Source: RNAcentral